This is a non-coding RNA of Callithrix jacchus (white-tufted-ear marmoset), 981 nucleotides long. Lineage: Eukaryota; Metazoa; Chordata; Mammalia; Primates; Cebidae. The record is from RefSeq and is a predicted model, not a curated record.
CUUGCCUACCCUCGGGGCAAAUUGCAGCCCUGGCUUUUCCCAGCAGCUGUGCCAGAUAACCCCGUUAUGGGCGGAGGGCAUCCAGGUUCUUGGUGUUUUGAACAAAGAAUUGGACAAAACACACAGAGCAACCAAAGAAGAGCACAGAUUUAUCAAAACAAAAGUACACUCCAUGGCUAGGAGCAAGCCAAAGAGGAUCCAUGGAGAGCACUGCCUACAGAAUUUUCUAGGCUUUAUACCGUCUGGAGGUUUCCCAUUGGUCACCUGGUUCACACCCUAUGCAAAUGAAGUAGGGGCCUGCCACCAGUCUGAUUGGUUGUGGAGGGUGGCCAAUCAGAGGCUGAAGUGAAGUCACAAAGCUACACACGAAGACUUGGUUUAUGAACAGUCUGACUGACUGCAGGAGGGGACACUUUCAUUUUUCAUCUGCAAAGCAGAAAAGUAGGGCUUGGAAAGGGAGUAGCCACUGAACUUUUGGUAUUUGUGUGGAGAGAUGGGGACUUUCCUUUUCAUUUAGUUAUAGGAAUUCAGUGAGAAUGAGCCUUAGGUUCUCUGCCCCCAGCCCCUACUCUCCCUGCCUCAACGCUGCUCUCUCCUGGGGAUCCUAAGCCUGAGUCCCGCCUGCACCUGGAUGUUGAUUCCAUAGUCACCUCAGGCACAGGCCUGGCCUAAGCCCCCCAGAACACAGCCGAGUUGCAGGCGGUGCAGAUGACAGCACACCGGCUUGUUGCCCAGACACGGAAAUGCCACUCAUAUUUCACAGCCAAACAUGGUGCUCACAGUGGGCUUCUGGAAAACACCCUCUAUCAGGAAAGCUUCUGCGUUGCACGUAAUAGAGACCAGCUCUGGCUGAUUAAAUUGGAAAAGACCUUUGCCGACAGUGUUGGAGGGCUCACAGGUGGCUGGGAGGGUCCAGACUUGAGAACUGGGCAGAAGCAAAGAGCAACCACAUGGCCAGGACAGCAGAAUCAGCCAGUCCUG